Puntigrus tetrazona (Sumatra barb) is the source of this 1296-nucleotide long non-coding RNA. RefSeq lists it as uncharacterized. Lineage: Eukaryota; Metazoa; Chordata; Actinopteri; Cypriniformes; Cyprinidae. The record is from RefSeq and is a predicted model, not a curated record. The transcript is spliced from 2 exons.
UUCAGCGCGAUCCAUUAAUUUGCAUAUCACCAUGGCACUACAGUUAUUUUUCCUGUGUGCUGUGCUACCAUGAAGCGAUAAGAACCUGCAUAAAACAGAAUCAAAAGGCCAGAAAGCACAGGACACAAUAUGAGUUUUUCCCCUCCAGUGGUGACUUAUGGGGAGUCAGCUCCUGUGGCCUUCUGGGAUACUAUAGACGGAACAUGCCUUCAGCCACUGCGCCCGGCAACUGCCUCCAGUGGCAACAACUCCCCAAAGACAAACACUUCUUUAUGGGAUCUUCACUAUGACCACACAAAGACCAGCCGCACGUGAGCAGGGCUGGAAACUUAUCACAUGUGCAAUUGUGAAAAUAAAUCACAUGUAUGAAGGAACUCGCAUAUAUAUAUAUUUUUUUCUUUUUUUUUUAUGUCUCCUCAGAGACUUAUAUCAUAACACAUACAACUAAGCACAUUCUGUUUAUUCAUACAUCAUUUCUCUCUUAUUAACCUCUGUAAUUUAGUCAUUCAUCGGUGAUACAAAAAUAAUGCUCGCUAUCCAUAACUAAUUACUUUUAUGGCAGUAAUAAAAGUUUGCUAUUCCAUCAGAUAAAAUAUAUAAAAAACAGCACAGAGUAUUAUAAUUAACAAAUUUACCUAAAUGCAUCAGUUGCUCAGCCAAAUGUUGUGUGUUUUUACUUUCUUAAAGGCAAAAGCCUCUCUGAUUUAUAUGAAAGGCCCUCGCUUAUGAGAGAAAUAAUAAAGAAAGACACUUGCAGGUAUUGGUCCAUACAUACGUUGAGCAUCUUCGGGGAUAGUGCUGGUAUGCUGGAAUCUAAAUGGCGGUGUCCCACGGGGGCUUCGGUUGACUGCUUGCUGACCUUUGCUGCCCUCGGACCACUAGCCACAGUUCAAACAAGAGGCACAAGGGACACAUCAAGGGCAACGAAGGGCUAAAGAGGAUUAUAGAUCGGGGUUUUUUUUCUCGGCGAAGGCUGCUUGACCGAAACAUUGCAAUAAAUACGGUUCGUUUUUGCAAGCUGUUAUUAUAUAUGUGGUGUGUGUGUGUAUAUAUAAAUACAUAUAUAUGGCAUGCGUGGUAUUUUUUCAUUCAUUUUCUUUAAAUAGAUCAACUGACGUAGAAAAGAAUGUGUGUUUGACUCUUAUGCUAUUUUUGUAAAGAGAGAGAGCGAGAGAGAGAGAAAUGUUAGGGUUUUAUGAUCUAUACUUUUUUUUCCAAUGCAAUAUGAAAGUCACUGAUCUUUUCAUGAUUGUACAUUGCAAUAAAAUACGAUGAGACUAUUGAAUUAUACUUCGA